AAGAAAUACCAGUUCAUCUAGUUUUACAACUUCUCCGAUAAGGCCAAAUAUGGGGAAAAUGACUGUGCCAUUUUGUGAUUCGCUGUAUGUGAACAAGGCAGAGAGUAUAAAAAAAAGGGGAAAGGAGUUUUCCAAGAGAACAGACCUCUUGGGCAGAGAUUUCACAUCAGCCGACACCAUUGUUCGCCGAACUUACACAGCAACAUCACCAACGCUGCCUGAGUCGCCAGAGUUUCGAAGCAGCUGCAGAGCCAGAUAAUCCGCCGCCCCACUGAGACAUCCAGAGCAUCACAACGCCAAGAGACAUACAAGAUGGCUACUGGUGGUAUUGUUUGUCCUUUUGAAUACCCUGAAGGAGCUAAGGAACAAAGAAAGGAAAAGAUCAGAGAGAAAACACUGCGUGGCAAUAAAGACAUUCUGUUUUAUGAUACAGAUGCUGAAGGUGAAAAAUGCAACCUCAUGUUGUGUAGCAUUCGUGUAAGAGAAUGGCUGAAUGCAAUUCAGCAAAAAUAUCCUGAACUCAAAGAAGCGCGAGAGAACGAUAAAAUUAUCCUAAAGUGCAAGGAAAGUACCAUAACUUUAUAUCCUACUGUGACGGUUGUGGUAACAGGCGAACUAAUGGAGAGCUUUGAGAGACAUUUUCCAGAAAUGAAACGAAUGGCCCUGACACCCUCCUUAUUAGAGGCAUUGGCCAAAUUGGACAUAAACAGUACUGGCUCUAGGCAUUUUGAAUACUCUGAAGGAUCUACUGAUAAACAAAAGGAAAGGGUCAGAGAGGAAACACUGCGUAACAAUAAAGACACUCUGCAUCAUGAUACCCAUUUGAUGGGUGAAAUAUGCAACCUCAAGUUCUAUAGCACUCAUGUAAUAGAAUGGCUGAAUGCAAUGAAGAAACAAUAUCCUGCAUUUGAGGAAAUUCAAACUGACCGUGUUCAGAACCUCAAGUCCGAUAUAGGUACCAUAACUUCAUACCCUAAAGUAACGGUUGUGGUAGAAGGCCAACUAAUGGAGAGGUUUGAGGAAGAUUUUCCACAAAUGAGACAAAGGGCCAAGUCUAAUGAGGAAGGACGUCCGGAUGAGCCAGAAGGUGAGGGCACUCUCCACACCCCACCAAACCCAGCUGAUGAGAAAUAUCCAUCUGAUGAAAAAGUAAGCACAGAAAAAAAGAAAGGGGAAAAAAAACAAAAAAAACUACAAAAUGGAUCAUUAUAAAUAACUGAUUAUUUAAGCUUCAUCGUGCCAUUUUAAUUCAUGAAUAGGUAUCUG
Sebastes umbrosus (honeycomb rockfish) is the source of this 1266-nucleotide long non-coding RNA. RefSeq lists it as uncharacterized. The transcript has 3 exons. Lineage: Eukaryota; Metazoa; Chordata; Actinopteri; Perciformes; Sebastidae. The record is from RefSeq and is a predicted model, not a curated record.